CCUACGGGAGGCAGCAGUGAGGAAUAUUGGACAAUGGAGGCAACUCUGAUCCAGCCAUGCCGCGUGCAGGAAGAAUGCCCUAUGGGUUGUAAACUGCUUUUAUUUAGGAAGAAACCCCCCAACGUGUUGGGGGCUGACGGUACUAAACGAAUAAGGACCGACUAACUCCGUGCCAGCAGCCGCGGUAAU
Molecule: ribosomal RNA, 189 nt
Filed under: uncultured bacterium
Lineage: Bacteria
Description: partial 16S ribosomal RNA
Rfam family: Bacterial small subunit ribosomal RNA
Source: RNAcentral